The submitters of this non-coding RNA (116 nucleotides) gave its source as unclassified sequences. The record is from Rfam.
AGGCGUGAAGCAGUGGGCUGGGUCGGUAUCAGUCGAUUACAGAGCCGGACCGUGGGUUGUGCGGAUACCAUAAGCAGAAUAGGCGGCGGAAAUGCUGCUGAAAGAAAACGCAAAAA